RNAcentral lists this unclassified non-coding RNA (327 nucleotides) under soil metagenome. RNAcentral's name for it is "partial contains 5.8S ribosomal RNA, internal transcribed spacer 2, and large subunit ribosomal RNA". The stretch from base 1 to 120 matches the Rfam family "5.8S ribosomal RNA", at positions 35 to 154 of the family's 154-position model. The record is from RNAcentral.
GAUGAAGAACGCAGCGAAAUGCGAUAAGUAAUGUGAAUUGCAGAAUUCAGUGAAUCAUCGAAUCUUUGAACGCACAUUGCGCCCCUUGGUAUUCCGGGGGGCAUGCCUGUUCGAGCGUCAUUAUAACCCCUCAAGCUCAGCUUGGUGUUGGGGCCUGCCAACUGGCAGCCCUUAAAAUCAGUGGCGGCGCCAUCUGGCUCUAAGCGUAGUAAUUUCUCUCGCUAUAGGGUCCCGGUGGAUGCUUGCCAACAACCCCCAAUUUUCUAUGGUUGACCUCGGAUCAGGUAGGGAUACCCGCUGAACUUAAGUAUAUCAAUAAGCGGAGGA